ACAUAAUCAAAUUAAGUUCAUACAAAUGUAAAUAAAAUCUUAACAAUUAGUCAAUUACAUCAAUAAAAUAAAUAAUGUCUUAACAAAAGAAAAUCCAAGCAAUAAAUCUAAAAUAUGAAACUUAAAUAUCUCCAACAACAAGACAACCUGUGAACCCCGCGAGUCAAACUCACAUAAUUCGCGGGUUAAGCGGGAUAGACCCAAAAAUAUGACAUAACCAUGAACCGUUUAAAAAAAUUAGUCUAUUAUCCGCGCGGAUCGCGGAUUCCAUGAACUAGUUUAUGGACCUGAAUCCGUUUACCCACCCCUAUAUGGACCCAACCCAAGUAUUUAAUAUUUGAUGUGAUAUGAUGUCAAUGUCAAAGGUUACAUAGUUCUUGUACUUUCAAUAAGACCGGGAAAAAAAACUUAACUUUGACAGAGCAAGGUUUAGACUUUAGAGAGAAAAAAUGAAAAGAAAAAGAAGUACUCGGGAAGGCUUUAUGAUAUGGUAACUGCACC
Molecule: long non-coding RNA, 501 nt
Filed under: Glycine max (soybean)
Lineage: Eukaryota; Viridiplantae; Streptophyta; Magnoliopsida; Fabales; Fabaceae
Description: long non-coding RNA (GMAX_LNC001553)
Source: RNAcentral